This is a long non-coding RNA of Hippocampus zosterae (dwarf seahorse), 117 nucleotides long. RefSeq lists it as uncharacterized. The transcript is spliced from 2 exons. Lineage: Eukaryota; Metazoa; Chordata; Actinopteri; Syngnathiformes; Syngnathidae. The record is from RefSeq and is a predicted model, not a curated record.
CACACGCACACACACACGCACACGCACACACACACACACACAACUGCAUCUGGGGACCUAACUGACAUCCGACUUGUUUGUUGCCCCCCGAGCGCCUCUCCACUUGCAAAACCACCA